Molecule: long non-coding RNA, 1063 nt
Organism: Triticum aestivum (bread wheat)
Lineage: Eukaryota; Viridiplantae; Streptophyta; Magnoliopsida; Poales; Poaceae
Exons: 2
Source: RefSeq, a predicted model, not a curated record
AGAGAAACUGGACCGGCCCUGCACAUUUGCGAGGGUUUCAAGAUGGGAAAUGUUUGUAAGCGGCGGACCGGCCGAAGCUUGGGCCGGUCGCGCGUGCGUCGUCGGAUGAGUUAGAAUCCAUCGCCCCUGCUUGUUCCAUGUAGCACUGGCCCACUCACCGCUUCGCAGCUACCUUAUCUCUUCGCGCACCUGCCCUUGACGCAUCUCAUUUCAUCUCUUUCUCUCGCAUCUUCCUCUUCUAUCCAGAUCUUCCUCGCGCACCUCCGCCCAGGUCAAUGCCCUCAGCCUCGCGCCCGUGCAACCUGCCGUUGCCCCGUCUGUACCUUGGAGCUUGACCCCAUUGACUCAGGCAGCGCGCUGGACGGCUGCACCCUGGACCCUGGUUGCACUCUUGACUUCGGUGGCAGGGAGGUUCCGCCGGCUGUUCUGUCCAAUCCGUCGCCUGGUGCUGGGACCGGGCGACGGGAUCUGCAGACUUGGUUUGGUGGAGAUGCAACCGUGGCGACGAGGAGCUGCAACCGGCCGUGGAUUAGAGCUGCAUCCGAUGGCGCUGCCUGGUGCUCGGACUGGCAACUAUGCUGUGCCGGGACGGUGGCCACAAGAUUUGGAGGCGACAAGUGUUACAACCAACACCCACCGGUGCUGGAGACAACGACGACAAGUGCUAGAGAGCCGCAGCGACCGGCGUUCAGGAUCGCUUGAAACCACGACGACAAGUGCUGGGAGAUCCGGCGAGGUGGCAAAGCGUUGGGGUUGAGAUUCUACGGCGAGCGACGGGAGCCAGGGCGGCGAGGGUGGCGACGAACGAGCGCGUGGGUGGCGCUUUGAGGCUGGUCAUGUGCUCGUCCAUGAAGAGUGCGAGGAGGAAGAACAAGUGCGGGGUGGAAGAAAGAAGAUCAUGUGGUUACGAAGCGUUUUAUCGUGUGGUCCUGGUGCGACCGGCCCAAAGUUGGGCCGGCGCGCCGGCGCCUAUCAGCCGCCUUUCAAGAUUUAGUUAGGCCUCUUCCAAUACUUCAUCUUGUACGGAUGCUAAAUCUUUCAUGUAGAUAAAAAAUCUGAUGUA